GACGAACGCUGGCGGCGUGCCUAAUACAUGCAAGUAGAACGCUGAAGCUUGGUGCUUGCACCGAGCGGAUGAGUUGCGAACGGGUGAGUAACGCGUAGGUAACCUGCCUGGUAGCGGGGGAUAACUAUUGGAAACGAUAGCUAAUACCGCAUAAGAGUAGAUAUUGCAUGACAUUUGCUUAAAAGGUGCAAUUGCAUCACUACCAGAUGGACCUGCGUUGUAUUAGCUAGUUGGUGAGGUAACGGCUCACCAAGGCAACGAUACAUAGCCGACCUGAGAGGGUGAUCGGCCACACUGGGACUGAGACACGGCCCAGACUCCUACGGGAGGCAGCAGUAGGGAAUCUUCGGCAAUGGACGGAAGUCUGACCGAGCAACGCCGCGUGAGUGAAGAAGGUUUUCGGAUCGUAAAGCUCUGUUGUAAGAGAAGAACGAGUGUGAGAGUGGAAAGUUCACACUGUGACGGUAUCUUACCAGAAAGGGACGGCUAACUACGUG
Molecule: ribosomal RNA, 497 nt
Filed under: uncultured bacterium
Lineage: Bacteria
Description: partial 16S ribosomal RNA
Rfam family: Bacterial small subunit ribosomal RNA
Source: RNAcentral